GAUGAACGCUGGCGGCGUGCCUAACACAUGCAAGUCGAACGGGGGCAGAUUGAAACCUAGUGAUAUCUGCCCGAGUGGCGGACGGGUGAGUAACGCGUGGACAACCUGCCGCAUGCAGGGGGAUACCGGCUGGAAACAGCCGCUAAUACCGCAUAUGCGCACGGCGCCGCAUGGCGCCGCGCGGAAAGGGAGCAAUCCCGGCAUGCGAUGGGUCCGCGUCCGAUUAGCUUGUUGGCGGGGCAGCGGCCCACCAAGGCGACGAUCGGUAGCCGGCCUGAGAGGGCGGACGGCCACAUUGGGACUGAGACACGGCCCAG
RNAcentral lists this ribosomal RNA (317 nucleotides) under uncultured bacterium. RNAcentral's name for it is "bacterial SSU rRNA". It matches the Rfam family "Bacterial small subunit ribosomal RNA", at positions 28 to 334 of the family's 1533-position model. The record is from RNAcentral.